RNAcentral lists this transfer RNA (74 nucleotides) under Candidatus Uhrbacteria bacterium. Its description in RNAcentral is "tRNA-Gly". It matches the Rfam family "tRNA". From Rfam's summary of the family: Transfer RNA (tRNA) molecules are approximately 80 nucleotides in length. Their secondary structure includes four short double-helical elements and three loops (D, anti-codon, and T loops). Lineage: Bacteria; Candidatus Uhriibacteriota. The record is from RNAcentral.
GCGGGUAUAGUUUAGUGGUCAAAUGACUGCUUCCCAAGCAGUAGUCACGGGUUCGAUUCCCGUUACCCGCUCCA